Long non-coding RNA from Schistocerca serialis cubense, 852 nucleotides. RefSeq lists it as uncharacterized. The record is from RefSeq and is a predicted model, not a curated record. The transcript is spliced from 4 exons. Lineage: Eukaryota; Metazoa; Arthropoda; Insecta; Orthoptera; Acrididae.
AAAGUUAACAAUCACACGCGCGGACCUUCAAGUCACCGUCAAGAUUCCUCCGCAAGAGUUUUACCGGCGACAAUGGUGGGGGUGAGGGAGGGUGAGAGAACUGUGUCUUCAUCUGCUAACAUCAGAAGAUAACCUAUUUUCGCCGCUCUCAAACAUGCUAUAAAAGUGUUUUCAUCCUAUUGCAUGUUUUUAAUCUUUAUUUUAUUAUUUUGCUCUUUUUUUCAUCGCAAGUUACAGAUGUUCCACAACGAUAUGGAUCACAACCAAACUGUGACUCGGAUAUCUUUUCCGUUUAAUGUUUUUCAAAAAGCGAUAUCUGAGGAAAAAAUUGUGUAGCUUAUACAGUAACAGAAUAGAGUUAUCGCUUAUAAAUAAGAACGUACAACUACAAAACCACACCCUGAGGAGAUCUGGAGAAGAAAAAAUGUAGAAAAGAAAAAUGAUUUCGAGAAAGAAAAAUAACUAAGCCGUGGGGACAUUUACAACCAUGCCAACGUCGUCAGUGUUACCUGAAGUGAGGUCUGAUCACUAGCACUGAUCAGCUGGGCAGAAGGAGGAGAAGACUAUUGACUAUGAUUCUAAGCAGGACAAGAUCAUGAAGCCAUAGUCUAAUCUGUUGUCGUUCGGCAUACAGCAGCAGCAACAGCAGCAAUGGCAAGAGUGGGCAGCUGUGGAAGAUGCAUUGCUGAAAUGAGCUCACAAACCAUGAGCGGAACUUAAUGUAAUUUACCUGAUGGUAGAAUUGCCAAUAUGCUUGAAAAAAAUAAAUAUGUCCUACUCAAAUAUUUUGUUUUGUCAACCCCAUCUAAUAAACAAUAGUGAAAAGAAAAUGAUUCAUAAUCUUUUGCAAAU